UACGAAGGGGGCUAGCGUUGCUCGGAAUUACUGGGCGUAAAGCGCACGUAGGCGGCUUUCUAAGUCGGGGGUGAAAUCCUGGAGCUCAACUCCAGAACUGCCUUUGAUACUGGCGAGCUUGAGUUCGGGAGAGGUGAGUGGAACUGCGAGUGUAGAGGUGAAAUUCGUAGAUAUUCGCAAGAACACCAGUGGCGAAGGCGGCUCACUGGCCCGAUACUGACGCUGAGGUGCGAAAGCGUGGGGAGCAAACAGG
Molecule: ribosomal RNA, 253 nt
Filed under: uncultured bacterium
Lineage: Bacteria
Description: partial 16S ribosomal RNA
Rfam family: Bacterial small subunit ribosomal RNA
Source: RNAcentral